CUUGUUUCAGCUCAAAGGCCUCAAGUGGGAGAAAACAGCUCUUGUUUGCUCAGUGUUUUGUGUGGUAGAGUAAGACCGAUGCUGUUUAAAUUCUAUGCACAGGCCAAUUAAAAUCACUAAGUGGUUCUAUCUUUUUUUUGUUCCAUCUUUUUUUUCCCCAAUGUAUUUUAUCCUGCCUGUUAAAACUCAAACUCCCAUCACCUAUCUACAUUAAAUGUAGAAAACGGGGCAGGGAUUUUUUCCAAGUUUUUUGCACAUUUAUUUACUGUAAACUCACCAGAAGAUUGAAGAGUUUUAGGCAUCACUGAAAAACUGGGUGAUUUUCUGAAUUGAGUGGAAAGCAGAUGGCUGUGAUUUCUACCUUAAUUUAUCCACCUGAGUAGCUGGGAGUCACAUCCUGCAGAAGCGGAGACCGGGAGGGGUGGACGUGGAAGUGAACGAGAGUGAUGGAGAUGGGCUCUUAGUGGCAGAGAUUUCCCUCUGGCACCUUGAGGAAAAAUUGACUUUUGAUCACAUGUGUCAACUUACCUGUUUCAUUUGAAUCUUUCCUAAAGGGUGGGAGUGAAGGGAAGGUCACUCCCCUUCAUCAUGUCUCAGCAGCUCUGGCCCAGACAGGGGCCUCCUAAAUAUGAAGCCUAAAACCAAGGUUCCCCUUGGUUAGAGGAUGGCAGACCACAUGGGUUGCAGAUGAGAUUGUGUCUUGAGCGUUUGUUGUGACUUAAAAUACAGCCCUUGUUCAAACAUCGUCAUUCAUCCAGUUGCUUGGUUUUAGAUUUCAUGCUUCUGUGUCCCCGCUGCUCCUAACACUUGGAAAGCCUCACCUCACCUCCUCUGCACCCCCAUCUUUCUGUGUCCAGGUACUUGUUCCUCAAACCAUAGUUCAGAACCCAAAUGUCAUUGGAUUAAAUGUCAUUGGAUUCAGCAAGGUGAUAAUCGUCUCUCUUUUUCUUGCAUCUCUAGAAUGAACCGCUUGUGUCUCUGUCAAGAUGCUGGCCAUUUUUUAUUCCAUCACCCUUGUGGAGUAGGCUGUAAUGUUCACUGCUAGAACCAUAAGCUCUGCAUCUUUCACAGAGGGUGCCUGGGGCCUGAGUUAAAGGCUCUGUUGAGCAAACAAAUGAAUGAAUGAAUGCACGAGUGAAUUUGAGGCUAUAGAAAUAUGCCUGAGUGCUCGAUACUGAUACUAGACUCGAUAUCACCCCACCAACCAUUGGGAAAGUGCUGGAUACCUCGCAGGCUUAAUUGAGCUGAGUUGAGGACAGUUGGAAGCUUCAGCAAGAUUCCUUCUCUGUUGGCAUAACCCAGGUCUUUGCUUUCUUUGCCUUACACUGCCUGGUUCUUCAGUGCUCAGAACCUCUUGAGAAAAGAGUGGUUUUACAUAAUGCUGUUGCCCCCCCCACCCCCCACCAGCCCACCAGAGGCAUUUCUUAAGUGCUGGUUAUACAUGGUGCUACAUGAAGGUCUCUGAAAAAAAAAAUUAUGUACACCCAGCUCCUGCUCUCUGAACACUGCAGUGACGCAAACAAAUGCACACACAAGAGCAUUCAACCUUUCAGCUUACAGGUGGGUCUCUAAGAAAGUAUUGAUGUCAGGUUGGUGAGGACCUGGAUUGGGAGAAAGAAGGGAAGUGGAUUCUGGAUCUUGCAUCCAAGUGCAGGUGCAGGUUCUGCCUUCUUCCUCUACUCAUUGAAGAAAGUGCUUUACUAACGCUGCAUACCAUGAGAGUGGCUUCUCUAAAACUCUAGUCCUGGGAGAGGAUGAAAAGCCACCUUUUCAAGGCUUAAUAGAAACAGGUGUGGACCAAAGCAUAAUGGCUUGGGAUUCUUUGAGAAGGAUUUUUGCUUUAAAAAUGGACAUCUUUGGAACUCAAUGAAGAAAAAAUUAAAAGAUGGCAUCUCUUCACAUGUCAUGUGUCACCUGGCUUAGGAGGACUCGGUGGUGUAGUGGCUAGAACUAUGUCUGGGGCAUCAGAACACCUGGAUUCUAGCCCUCAUUCUGCCAUCCAUUCUCUAUGAGGCAGCCCGUGUGUUGCUUUUACUUUCUUAUGGCUUGGUGCUCUUGUCUCUAAAUUAAGUGGUUAGAUUGCAUCAUCUGUAAGUCCCUGUGUAUUUCACAUAAACUGGGUGUUACCAGAUUGGUUUCUCAUUAAUUAUCUCACACAUUCUCUUCAUCAAGGGGUUUGGUGGGGCAGACUUUCUAUUUCUCAUAAAUUUUGGAAUGCCUGUAGGAUAUCUUGGCUUCCUUUUACUGGAUGGACAUUUUGUAUUCUAUAGCCCCAAAGCAAUUUGUUCCAAUUGACUUUGCUAUGUGGGGUUUUAUUUCCUGUUAUAACAUAGGAAAAAAAACCACCUUUCUUUCGGUUCAUCAUAAUUUAGGUAGUAUUGGGAUUGUCUAAGCCCUCCUCCAAUUUUUGAUCAUUAUUAAUGGAAAAAGAGAGGCCAUAACCCCCCCCACACACACACACACACAUACUGUUUAGUUUGGAAAAAAGAGCAUUUGCAAACUUUUUUUCUGGGUUAGGUUUAUAGUGACUAUUCUGUGCUGUACUGCUCACAAGUACUUGGUAAACUGAUGAAUGAUGACACAUUUAGAUAAUUUUUGGGUCUACUCCUUGCUCUCAAGGCCAAACAUGUAGGAUUCAGUUUCUUCCAGGUAUCUCCACUGGCUUUUUGUCAGAGGAUGUGGUCAUUCUUUUGGAUGUUGACCAGUGAAUUGGUAUUACCUCCCAAAUCCUUGAAGAUGUCUAAUUCAUGCCAUCCAUCCAUCCAUCCAUCCAUCCAUCCAACAGAUGUUUACUUAGGACUACUCUGUGCCAAACACCAUUCCAAUACAACGGUGAACAGAUAAGAAUCUCUGACCUUAUAGGACUUAUAUUCUAGUGGGGCAGUGGGGCUGGCAGAGAGCUAAUAACCAAAAUGAGGAAGCACGUAGUGUGUCAUGUGGUAGUAAGCACUAUGGAGAAAAAUAAAGCCAGGAAAAGGGGUAGGGGACAUAGCAAUUUUCAAUUUCCUUUAACUAAUUUUGGAAGAAGCUUAUAUUUGAGGCAAUAUGGAGCAGGGACUCCAAAUAUGGGGCAGAUCACAAAGGAACUUGCACUUCAGAUGAGGAGUCUAAAUUCUCUGCUAAGUAUGAUGGAAAACCUUGGGCAUAACAUGAUCACAUUUCCGUUUUGCAGUGACCACUGUGCCUACCGUGAGGAAAAUGGAGUAUGCAGGCAUAAGGGUGGAAUUGGGGCACAGGCUAGGAAGUUAUUAAAGUAAAUGAAGUAAUAAAUAGUAGCUCAGACAAGGGUGGUAGUAGUGGAGGUGGAGAGAAGGAGUCAGGUUUUGUACAUGUUUGUGAAGGUAGAGCCAAUCAGGAUUUACCGAUAGGUUGGAUGUGGGAUUUUGAGGGAAAGAGAAGAACCUGGUUCUUAAGUUUUUAGCUUGAACAACUGUGUGGAUGGUGAUAUUAUUUAAUGAGAAAGGGCACAGUGGGCAAGAACAUGUUUAUAUAAGGCAUCAAGUUUUAUUUCCAUCUUCUUAUGUUUGAGGUGUUUAGUUAUCGACAUGGAGAUAGUGUUUUGAAUAUGCCCAGACUGGACCUAAGGAGAGAAGUCAGAACUGUAUCUUCAUUCAUUCAUUCAGAAAUAUUUACUGAGCACCUACUACAUGCCAGACACUGAUACAGUCACUGGAGAUGUAGUGUUGAACGAAACAGACAUAGCCUCUGCCCUCAUGGAGCUUACUUUCUCGUGAGCAGUUUCAGACCUCAAGAAAUAGUGGGGCAUAUAAACCAGACCAGUUCAGAGUAUGAGAGCUGCUACGAAGAAAAUAAAACAGAGUGAUGAUUGUAGGGGGUCUUUCUAGAGUCUUAAUUCUUUCCUGAGCAUUACUGAAUUAUUUAUUUAUUAACAAGAAUAAAAGUAAUUCAUUUAGUACUACUGUGUUCUAGGCCCUAUGCUAAAUGCUGAUCCUAGAGAUCCUAGAGAGAAACUCCUAGUUUCGGAGUUCCCGUCGUGGCACAGUGGUUAACGAAUCCGACUAGGAACCAUGAGGUUGCGGGUUCGGUCCCUGCCCUUGCUCAGUGGGUUAAAGAUCCGGUGUUGCCGUGAGCUGUGGUGUAGGUUGCAGAUGCGGCUGGGAUCUGGCAUUGCUGUGGCUCUGGUGUAGGCCAGUGGCUACAGCUCCGAUUGGACCCCUAGCCUGGGAACCUCCAUAUGCCGCGGGAGCGGCCCAAAGAAAUAGCAAAAAGGCAAAAAGGCAAAAAAAAAAAAGAUAUUUUCCAGCCUUAAGGGGGUUAGUCUGGUGGAAGAGCCUGAUAAAUAGCUAAAAUAUAGAGCGGAAUGACAUGAGUGCUUUAUAGAGGAGCAAACAGCAGGUUGUGGGCAUCCUUUCUGAGGAAUUAGGGAAGAGUUCAUAGAGGAAUUUGAAUUGGGCCUUGAAUGGCCUUGAAUGGGCCUUGAAUGGAUUACAAGUGGCCGACUGCCACUUAAGGCAGACUUUCCUAAAAGCUGCAGUUGCCCAAAGGCUACCUCUUAGAGUUUGAGUUUAGGGUGAGUGUAUACUGGGAGGAGCUGUAACAGAAAAGAUUUACAUGUUGUCGAUGGGCAGAAAGGUUGAACUUGGUGAUCCUGAAUUACCUUCAACCUGACAGUCUGUGAUCCUACAGCGUUUAAAGUACUGCAAACCAGAAACUCUUGUAUUUGAGAUGUCUCUUCUGCCCAAAGCUGUUCAGACAAUGAAAUCGUAACACUCUGUGAAGAAAAGUUUAGCUGGGCUAAAAGAAAACAGUCAAAUCUCUAUCUGAAUAACUGCACAUUCCAGAUAGGUGUGGUAAUAAGCAGUGAAGUCUUAUUGUUGACUAUCUUAAAAGAUGUAAGCCCCUGUAUUUGGAAUGGAGUUGGGGGUCUUAUGGCCGAACCUGGAAGACUCAAUCUUUUUCUGCCUAAAAUUAGCUAAGCCAGGUGAGCUUGAAGUCAUCUGGAGCUCAGUUCUUCAUCUUGCUUCAUCCUGUGGUCAAUCAUGAAAUCAUGUGUGACUCUCGUUUGUGUUUUAUAUACGUGAUAUUUUCUCUAUUAUAUUGACCACUCUUGAGGCCCUUGAAUUUAGUGUGUAUGUUUAUGCAAACCAGCAUGGCCACUGUGGGUGGAGGACAAUAAUAAUGAACUAAUUCUAUUCUUUUUUAAGCAGUGUAAGUAUUGACUUUAUAGAGUGAGAAAUUUAUUGUCCACAGUCAAAUUGGAGAACCCAUGUUUGCUUAGCUUAAUGCAUAAGUCUCAUUCUAUCUUCAUUCUUUCAGAGCUUCUGGGCUAUCUCUAUUCCUGGUACCAGAGGAAGUAAAGUUGAUUUGGCCUGAUGUCUAAGCCUAACCCCUUGGUUCUGGCCCCACUUGCCCUGAAGUGGCUAACAGACCCCUAACUUCUCAAAUCUCCCAGGCUCUGUGCCUGAACUCUCUUCCCCUAGACUCACUUCUUAGGUUGCCAUCUUGUGAUAGUUCCUUAAAGCCAAAUAACAACUUUUCUGGAGUAUUCCAGGAUAGAGAACUUCACUUAUGAAUUCACUGUUACUGCUGAUAAGGAUGAUGGUAAAAGAAGAGAAAGCCCAACUGAUCUUUAAGCUAAUAGUUUUCUCCAGCAACAAAAGCAUGAAAUAAUUUGUAUUUUAAACUCUUUGCCUGUUUUUUUUCCUUCUUCAUCCCUUCUUCGUCUUCCUUCCAAAAAGUUGUAUAAUCCUGUUUUUUCAAUGAUUUUUAUUCUUCUAAACAGCUAUGUACGAGUUACCAGGCUCACACUUUAAUGGUAGAACAUCAAGUGUGUGCAGGUAUAACCUGAUCACUUUGUUGUACAGCAGAACUUGUCACAACAUUGUAAAUCAACUAGACUUCAAUAAAACUUAAGAAAAGUCCAACAUCAAGAUCCAGAAACUUAAUUGGAAGUCUGUGGAUAAUCCAGUGUUCUCAAAAACUUCCCCAAAUCAAAAUUAAUUCUAAAAUAUGUUAAAUAUUGUUUGAGAUAUGUGUGUGUAUCUGUGUGUCUGUGUAUGGUGGGGAAAAAGAAAUUAGCAAGCAACUGACUGUACCAAGUUGGCUUGUGAAGGCUCAGAGAGGUGAAAGGUGCUGAAAGACAGACCAGGGAAGAGGAGAAUUAAGAGUGGGCUGAGGGGAGUUCCUGUUGUGGCGCAGUGGUUAACGAAUCCGACUAGGAACCAUGAGGUUGCGGGUUCGGUCCCUGCCCUUGCUCAGUGGGUUAACGAUCCGGCGUUGCCGUGAGCUGUGGUGUAGGUUGCAGACGCGGCUCGGAUCCCGCGUUGCUGUGGCUCUGGCGUAGGCCGGUGGCUACAGCUCCGAUUCGACCCCUGGCCUGGGAACCUCCAUAUGCCGCGGGAGCGGCCCAAGAAAUAGCAACAACAACAACAACAACAAAGACAAAAAAGACCAAAAAAAAAAAA
This 6425-nucleotide long non-coding RNA is filed under the name Sus scrofa (pig). RNAcentral's name for it is "lncRNA (ENSSSCG00025044928.1)". The record is from RNAcentral. Lineage: Eukaryota; Metazoa; Chordata; Mammalia; Artiodactyla; Suidae.